Molecule: ribosomal RNA, 779 nt
Filed under: uncultured Neocallimastigales
Lineage: Eukaryota; Fungi; Neocallimastigomycota; Neocallimastigomycetes; Neocallimastigales
Description: partial large subunit ribosomal RNA
Rfam family: Eukaryotic large subunit ribosomal RNA
Source: RNAcentral
UACUAGAGUAGCACUCGCAUAUCAAUAAGCGGAGGAAAAGAAACUAACAAGGAUUCCCUUAGUAACGGCGAGUGAAGCGGGAAGAGCUCAAAUUUGAAAUCUUCAAGGUUCUACCUUGACGAAUUGUAGUUUAUAGAAGUGUUUUCUGUUAGUGGAGUGGCAAAAGUUCUUUGGAAUAGGACAUCAUAGAGGGUGAGAAUCCCGUAUUUGGUCAUUCCUCCUAGCGUUGUGAUACACUUUCAACGAGUCGGAUUGUUUGGGAAUGCAGUCCAAAAUGGGUGGUAAAUUUCAUCUAAAGCUAUAUAUUGGCGAGAGACCGAUAGCGAACAAGUACCGUGAGGGAAAGAUGAAAAGGAACUUUGAAAAGAGAGUUAAACAGUACGUGAAAUUGUCAAAAGGGAAGCGUUUGACACCAGUGUUGUUUUUCCGAAAAUCAAUUACGAAUGUUUUAGUUUUUGAGGAGUUAUGACUUCAUCGGCUUGCUCCUUUCUUUAUGAAACUUUCUUAAUGCACUUUUCGGUUAACAAGUCAACAUCAAUUUCUUUUGUUGUAAAAGGGUAUGAGGAAGGUGGCUUUCUUUUCAGGAGAAAGUGUUUAUAGCCUUGUGACCUCUGCAAUCGGAGAGAUUGAGGUCUGCAGCGUAGAUCCUUCGGGGUUAGAUACAUUUGUGCUAAGUUAUAGCUUUUCAUAGACAACUUGUUGACUAUGUUAAGUCUUGUAGCUUACUCGCUUAGUGCUAUUUUACCUACGCUUAGGAUGUUGAAGAUGUAGCACAUCAU